GAAGAAGUAAAGCAUAGCACACCUACCAAUCCACUUCCAUAAAAUAAGAUUCCACAAAAAUCACAUAGGUUUAAUACAAUGAACAAAUACCAUCUAGAGUAGCCGAUGAAGGCCUAAACAAACAAUGUUGAUACCAAUUCACAAGGAUAUUAAAAUUACUACAAAAGGUUACCCGGUUACUCUCCAACCUUAGACCCCCAUCCUAAGAACUAUGGGAAAAAAUUUACCAACUUCAGAAAAAUACUUUGAUUAAAGGUUAAUUGCUUUAGCAAGGUAAAUUUUCACUCACCAUCCGUGAACAAUGCCGUCCCUAAACAUCAUUUUGUA
RNAcentral lists this unclassified non-coding RNA (327 nucleotides) under Hevea brasiliensis (rubber tree). The record is from RNAcentral. Lineage: Eukaryota; Viridiplantae; Streptophyta; Magnoliopsida; Malpighiales; Euphorbiaceae.